GGCGCGCCGCGACGCCGACGCCGAGCCGGCGCUCGCGUCGUUCCUCUACGCCACCGUGCUCUCCCACCCCUCCCUCGACCGCUCGCUCGCCUUCCACCUCGCCAACAAGCUCUGCUCCUCCACGCUGCUCUCCACGCUCCUCUACGACCUCUUCGUCGCCUCCCUCGCCGCGCACCCCACCCUCCGCGCCGCCGUCGUCGCCGACCUCCUCGCCGCGCGCUCCAGGGACCCCGCCUGCGUCGGCUUCUCCCACUGCCUCCUCAACUACAAGGGCUUCCUCGCCAUCCAGGCCCAGCGCGUCGCGCACGUGCUCUGGGCGCAGGACCGCCGCGCCCUCGCGCUCGCGCUCCAGUCCCGCGUCGCCGAGGUGUUCGCCGUCGACAUCCACCCCGCCGCCGCGAUCGGCAAGGGCGUCCUCCUCGACCACGCCACGGGCGUCGUCAUCGGAGAGACCGCCGUCAUCGGCGACAACGUCUCCAUCCUCCACCACGUCACGCUGGGCGGGACAGGCAAGGCCGUGGGCGACCGGCACCCCAAGAUCGGCGACGGCGUCCUCAUUGGCGCCGGCGCGACGAUCCUCGGCAAUGUCAGGAUCGGCGCCGGGGCCAAGAUCGGGGCCGGGUCGCUGGUGCUCAUCGACGUGC
RNAcentral lists this long non-coding RNA (644 nucleotides) under Oryza sativa (Asian cultivated rice). Its description in RNAcentral is "long non-coding RNA (OSAT_LNC001353)". The record is from RNAcentral. Lineage: Eukaryota; Viridiplantae; Streptophyta; Magnoliopsida; Poales; Poaceae.